UUAAAAAUCAAAAUGAAUGCAAAAACCCACACAGGCUUAACAAUAGGUUUUAAACAAAGCCACCUCAGUAUUAUUGACUCUUCCUUUUGCAGUAGGUUCCAAUAUGGCUUGGCAUGGGCUAAAUAUUGUAACGCAGCAGUGCGCUGAGAUGUUCCUGGCUCUGGAGAGCCUAGAGACUCCCUGCUGUCUGCUGCAGCAGUUGUUGGGGUGGUCUUGGUUCCUCAGCAUCCAAGCCUCUCUCUACACUUACUACCUACUUGGCAACUGUCACCGUACUGCAGCCUCUUUCCUUGGUCACUGAGUGUCUCUUGCCUCCACCCAUACGGAUCUUACGAUCCUUCCAGACCCAACCCAAGUCCUACUUUUCCAUGAAAAGUUCUAACCUGACACCCCCAACCUCCCAGUGCCCACUUCACCUUUGUCUGAAAUGCUGCCCCACAAAUAAUUGUGCCCUACUUUGCAUUCUCAGGGAUGUUCUUUAAUAUUUCAAGCAAGACUGUGUAUUUCCCUACUAGAGUGUAUGUUCCUUAAGAUCAUGUUACAUUUCUCUCAUAUAUGUUAUACCACUGUGGUAGUUGGUAUGAAAGCGCCUGCCCCUAUAGGUUCAUACGUUUGAACAGUUGGUCCCCAGUUGGUGGCACUGUUUGGGGGGGUUAUGGAACUUUUAGGAGGCACAUCUUUGCUAGAGGAAAUAUGUCAUUGAUGGCAGGCUUUGAUCAGUUGUAGCCUCAUUCAAUUUCCUAUUUGCUUGCUCUGCUUCCUGUGAGCUAUUGAGAUGUGAUCUCUUUCUGCUUCCUGCUUCAGCCCCUGCUGUGAUGUUCCCCUUGCUGUCAUGGACUCUCCCUGUGGAACAUGAACCAAAAUAAACUCUUCUAUAAAUUGC
This 883-nucleotide long non-coding RNA is filed under the name Rattus norvegicus (Norway rat). Its description in RNAcentral is "long non-coding RNA NONRATT018498". Lineage: Eukaryota; Metazoa; Chordata; Mammalia; Rodentia; Muridae. The record is from RNAcentral.